GCGACCCCAGGAUGGGCGGGGCCACCCGCCGAGUUUAAGCAUAUCAUA
Molecule: ribosomal RNA, 48 nt
Filed under: Dendrobium spatella
Lineage: Eukaryota; Viridiplantae; Streptophyta; Magnoliopsida; Asparagales; Orchidaceae
Description: partial 26S ribosomal RNA
Source: RNAcentral